Molecule: long non-coding RNA, 819 nt
Filed under: Nicotiana benthamiana
Lineage: Eukaryota; Viridiplantae; Streptophyta; Magnoliopsida; Solanales; Solanaceae
Description: long non-coding RNA (NBEN_LNC037157)
Source: RNAcentral
CCAAAUUCCAAUUUCCCACCCCUAUAAUAUUUUGCCCAAUUCCAAAUUUUCCACUGCUGAGAAAUUUACACCUUCCGAAAUUCCCUCUACUGUUUCACCGCCAUCGCGAUACAAAUUCCUCUAAUGGAUCCUAUCGACUCUAAAUAUAGAUCCUAUUAGGGAUCAUUUUUGCCUAAUUUCAAAAAAUGCCUUCGACUAGAGAGAUUGCUCUGCUACAUCUCUUUCUCCAGCGAACUCAUUCGGCAAAAUCAAUGUUAUAAAUUGUAGGUUUGUUUCCUUUUCACUCAAUGUCUUGAGCAUAAACUUGUACUACUCUGGUACUUUCUAAUCACUAUUUUGUUCAUUGGUUUGCUGCUUGUGUUUAGAAUGCAAUACUGGUUAACUCGUUCAGUGCUAGUCGCUGCGAUUUCCUCUUCCUUCAUGGUUAGUUUCCAGUAAAGUGUUAGUGUAUCUCAUAUUUACAUUCUAUUUCUUAUUUUUGAGAUAUAGGUCAGCCAUAGCUAGUCAUAAGCAUGCUAAUUUUGGUUGUUGUUGUUGUGAGUUUACUGAUUCGGACAAUGUUAUUACUCUUCUGCCAAAAACUUUAAGAUUUGUUAUGUUAGUGUAUCAUUUUUUAUAUUGUGUUCAAUAAGUCUUAAAUUUGGCUUAUAGGAGUGCGUAGGUGAAGAAGAAGGCAGUAGUUGCUCAACGACCCCAAGAGGCGCAAGGUACUUGAACUGCUUUCAAUUUUGUGGAUGCUUUUAAAUUCUAGUAAGAUAAAACUCUGCCUGUAUAAGUACGUGAUUUUAAUUUUCAAAUUCCUAUAUUACUUGCAUUCAC